Molecule: transfer RNA, 85 nt
Filed under: Rickettsiales bacterium
Lineage: Bacteria; Pseudomonadati; Pseudomonadota; Alphaproteobacteria; Rickettsiales
Description: tRNA-Leu
Rfam family: tRNA
About the family: Transfer RNA (tRNA) molecules are approximately 80 nucleotides in length.
Source: RNAcentral
GGGGCAGUGGCGGAAUUGGUAGACGCGCUGGAUUUAGGUUCCAGUAGAGAAAUCUGUCAGGGUUCAAGUCCCUGCCGCCCCACCA